AGUGAACGCUGGCGGUAGGCCUAACACAUGCAAGUCGAACGGCAGCACAGUAAGAGCUUGCUCUUACGGGUGGCGAGUGGCGGACGGGUGAGGAAUACAUCGGAAUCUACUUUUUCGUGGGGGAUAACGUAGGGAAACUUGCGCUAAUACCGCAUACGACCUACGGGUGAAAGCAGGGGAUCUUCGGACCUUGCGCGAUUGAAUGAGCCGAUGUCGGAUUAGCUAGUUGGCGGGGUAAAGGCCCACCAAGGCGACGAUCCGUAGCUGGUCUGAGAGGAUGAUCAGCCACACUGGAACUGAGACACGGUCCAGACUCCUACGGGAGGCAGCAGUGGGGAAUAUUGGACAAUGGGCGCAAGCCUGAUCCAGCCAUACCGCGUGGGUGAAGAAGGCCUUCGGGUUGUAAAGCCCUUUUGUUGGGAAAGAAAGGCAGCAGGUUAAUACCCCGCUGUUCUGACGGUACCCAAAGAAUAAGCACCGGCUAACUUCG
RNAcentral lists this ribosomal RNA (490 nucleotides) under uncultured bacterium. RNAcentral describes it as "partial 16S ribosomal RNA". It matches the Rfam family "Bacterial small subunit ribosomal RNA", at positions 29 to 505 of the family's 1533-position model. The record is from RNAcentral.